This is a long non-coding RNA of Capsicum annuum, 536 nucleotides long. RefSeq lists it as uncharacterized. The record is from RefSeq and is a predicted model, not a curated record. The transcript is spliced from 3 exons. NCBI's taxonomy places the organism in Eukaryota, Viridiplantae, Streptophyta, Magnoliopsida, Solanales, Solanaceae.
AGUAUAUUAAAAAUAAACUGCUCCAGUACUCAAUCAUCAGUAGUUGACUUUCCAAAUUCUUCAAAAAUCCCAAAAUGCAUCCUCUCAGGUGCCAUCUGAUCUUGUAAUUCUGUCGUCUCCUUUGGGUUAUCCGUGAUGUUCCACCUCUUCGAUCAACAAUGCUUCCUACACAAGAAACUUCAUUACUUGAAGGUGUUUGGUGUUUGACCACUGAAUUGUGGAGUAUUAGGAGUGUAUCUACCGGGCUCAGCUCCCUUACCUCUGAUGGAAAAAUUUCCAUUGUCGCAGGGUAAGGCUUGAGGUUGACCUCUUUGCUUUAUGGCUAAGUCUGAACACCGGUUUUCUUUCUUUUUGGUGAAAAUUUGUGUAUGUAAACAUAGCUUAGAUAAACUAGUUUAGCAGCUUUUAUGCCUGUGUAGAUCCAGCAUAUAUUUGUGAUUCUACUUCUGUAGCUUUGCUAUUUCCUUACUUUUUUUCUGUGCAUGUGACUCCUGGGAAUGUUUAUGCUUAUUAUGGAUGGAUUUUCCUUUUGCUUA